AGCUCAUCACAUGUCCAUCUCCUCGUCCCACUUGGCGGCGUCAGGCAACUUCAUGUUUUGUCACAUGAAAUCAAGGAACAUGGAGGCCUGCAGUAACCGGCCCAGCCUCUGGAAGUGCCGUGUAUGGUAGGAGAGACUCCACAGCUGCUUUGAUCCCUUCGUAUUGCAAGAGGCUCUCUGGCGUCUCAUGCUUGAGGAGGGUUUCCACCACUGCCUGAGCCUUGAGGUAGUUCCGCGAGUUUGUGUUCCACGUGAUGGAAAACUUCAACACAGCCUCUGGAAGAAGGGGUUUGGGGAAGACACGUCAGGAAGGAGUGCAAGUUGCAGGCAGCGUGGCCACCUUGAACCAACACAUCUCUCUUGCGAAGCGUGGCCAGGUCUGGGCACACAUCUGACCUGCGCCUUUCUUCAAGGCAGGGAAGCAGAUCCAACACCCCUCCCCACCUAGUAGAAACCAUUAAUGAUGGGAGGGGUGACUGGGUUUAUUCCAGACUACAUGGCUUGCAGGAAU
Molecule: non-coding RNA, 511 nt
Organism: Podarcis lilfordi (Lilford's wall lizard)
Lineage: Eukaryota; Metazoa; Chordata; Lepidosauria; Squamata; Lacertidae
Source: the annotation of a GenBank genome assembly